This 504-nucleotide ribosomal RNA is filed under the name uncultured bacterium. Its description in RNAcentral is "bacterial SSU rRNA". It matches the Rfam family "Bacterial small subunit ribosomal RNA", at positions 28 to 524 of the family's 1533-position model. The record is from RNAcentral.
AAUGAACGCUGGCGGCGUGCCUAACACAUGCAAGUCGGGUGUGCCGCAAGGUGCAUGGCAGACGGGUGAGUAACGCGUGGGGAACCUACCUCUUCGUGGGGAAUAACGAUCCGAAAGGAUUGGUAAUACCGCAUGAGACCGACGGCUGGGAUGCUGUCGGUGAAAGCUGGGGACCGGAAACGGCCUGGCGCGAGGAGAGGGUCCUGCGUCUGAUUAGCUAGUUGGUGGGGUAACGGCCUACCAAGGCAUCGAUCAGUAGCCGGCCUGAGAGGGUGAUCGGCCACACUGGAACUGAGACACGGUCCAGACUCCUACGGGAGGCAGCAGUGGGGAAUUUUGCGCAAUGGACGAAAGUCUGACGCAGCAACGCCGCGCGGGUGAUGAAGGUCUUCGGAUUGUAAAACCCUGUCGUCGGGGACGAAGGUAGGAGGGUUAAUAGCCCUUUUGCUUGACGGUACCCGGAGAGGAAGCCCCGGCUAACUCUGUGCCAGCAGCCGCGGUAAU